UACGUAGGGUGCGAGCGUUGUCCGGAAUUACUGGGCGUAAAGAGCUCGUAGGUGGUUUGUCGCGUCGUCUGUGAAAUUCCGGGGCUUAACCUCGGGCGUGCAGGCGAUACGGGCAAUACUUGAGUGCUGUAGGGGAGACUUGAAUUCCUGGUGUAGCGGUGAAAUGCGCAGAUAUCAGGAGGAACACCGAUGGCGAAGGCAGGUCUCUGGGCAGUAACUGACGCUGAGGAGCGAAAGCAUGGGUAGCGAACAGGAUUAGA
RNAcentral lists this ribosomal RNA (260 nucleotides) under uncultured prokaryote. RNAcentral describes it as "partial 16S ribosomal RNA". It matches the Rfam family "Bacterial small subunit ribosomal RNA", at positions 524 to 782 of the family's 1533-position model. The record is from RNAcentral.